RNAcentral lists this ribosomal RNA (576 nucleotides) under Stagonospora sp. JP-2013. RNAcentral describes it as "eukaryotic LSU rRNA". The stretch from base 203 to 356 matches the Rfam family "5.8S ribosomal RNA". The record is from RNAcentral. RNAcentral also lists the same sequence under 1 other name. Lineage: Eukaryota; Fungi; Ascomycota; Dothideomycetes; Pleosporales; Massarinaceae.
UGCGGAGGAUCAUUACACUCAGUAGUUUACUACUGUUAAGGGGGCUGUUAGUCUGUAUAGCUUAAUCGCUGAUGAGCAGCAGGCCUUCUUUUUACACCCUUGUCUUUUGCGUACCCAUGUUUCCUCGGCAGGCUUGCCUGCCGAUUGGACAACCUAUAACCUUUUUAAUUUUUAUUCAGCGUCUGAAAAACUUAAUAAUUACAACUUUCAACAACGGAUCUCUUGGUUCUGGCAUCGAUGAAGAACGCAGCGAAAUGCGAUAAGUAGUGUGAAUUGCAGAAUUCAGUGAAUCAUCGAAUCUUUGAACGCACAUUGCGCCCUAUAGUAUUCUGUAGGGCAUGCAUGUUCGAGCGUCAUUUGUACCUUCAAGCUUUGCUUGGUGUUGGGUGUUUGUCCUCUCCCUGGUGUUUGGACUCGCCUUAAAACAAUUGGCAGCCAGUGUUUUGGUAUUGAAGCGCAGCACAAUUUGCGAUUCUGGCCUUAAAAUACUAGCGUCCAUAAGUACUUUCUCACUUUUGACCUCGGAUCAUGUAGGGAUACCCGCUGAACUUAAGCAUAUCAAUAAGCGGAGGAAAA